Molecule: unclassified non-coding RNA, 294 nt
Filed under: uncultured fungus
Lineage: Eukaryota; Fungi
Description: sequence contains ITS1
Source: RNAcentral
GGGACUACAGGGGUAUCUAAUCCUGUUUGCUCCCCACGCUUUCGUGCCUCAGCGUCAAUGUCGGUCCAGGUGGCUGCCUUCGCCACGGAUGUUCCUCCCGAUAUCUACGCAUUUCACUGCUACACCGGGAAUUCCGCCACCCUCUACCACAUUCUAGAUUGCCAGUAUCCAAUGCCAUUCCCAGGUUGAGCCCGGGGCUUUCACAUCAGACUUAACAAACCGCCUACGCACGCUUUACGCCCAGUAAUUCCGAGUAACGCUUGCACCCUUCGUAUUACCGCGGCGGCUGGCACC